Molecule: ribosomal RNA, 301 nt
Filed under: uncultured bacterium
Lineage: Bacteria
Description: partial 16S ribosomal RNA
Rfam family: Bacterial small subunit ribosomal RNA
Source: RNAcentral
CAGUAGCCGCGGGAAUACGAGGGGGGCAAGCGUUGUUCGGAAUUAUUGGGCGUAAAGGGUGCGUAGGCGGUUUGGCAAGUUUGGUGUGAAAUCUUCGGGCUCAACUCGAAGUCUGCAUCGAAAACUGCCGGGCUUGAGUAUGGGAGAGGUGAGUGGAAUUUCCGGUGUAGCGGUGAAAUGCGUAGAUAUCGGAAGGAACACCUGUGGCGAAAGCGGCUCACUGGACCAUAACUGACGCUGAUGCACGAAAGCUAGGGGAGCAAACAGGAUUAGAUACCCGUGUAGUCCCUGUCUCUUAUAC